This 253-nucleotide ribosomal RNA is filed under the name uncultured bacterium. RNAcentral describes it as "partial 16S ribosomal RNA". It matches the Rfam family "Bacterial small subunit ribosomal RNA", at positions 524 to 776 of the family's 1533-position model. The record is from RNAcentral.
UACGCAUGGGGCUAGCGUUGUUCGGAAUUAUUGGGCGUAAAGGGCGUCUAGGCGGGGAAUUAAGUUGGGUGUGAAAGCCAUGGGCUCAACUCAUGAAUUGCACCCAAAACUGAAUCUCUUGAGUCCGGGAGAGGAGAGCGGAAUUCCAGGUGUAGCGGUGAAAUGCGUAGAGAUCUGGAAGAACACCAGUGGCGAAGGCGGCUCUCUGGCCUAGGACUGACGCUGAAGCGCGAAAGAGUGGGGAGCGAACGGG